This 207-nucleotide ribosomal RNA is filed under the name uncultured bacterium. Its description in RNAcentral is "partial 16S ribosomal RNA". It matches the Rfam family "Bacterial small subunit ribosomal RNA", at positions 568 to 774 of the family's 1533-position model. The record is from RNAcentral.
CAUGUAGGCGGAUUAAUAAGUUUGAAGCGAAAUCCUAUAGCUUAACUAUAGAACUGCUUUGAAAACUGUUAAUCUAGAAUGUGGGAGAGGUAGAUGGAAUUUCUGGUGUAGGGGUAAAAUCCGUAGAGAUCAGAAGGAAUACCGAUUGCGAAGGCGAUCUACUGGAACAUUAUUGACGCUGAGAUGCGAAAGCGUGGGGAGCAAACA